Molecule: ribosomal RNA, 588 nt
Filed under: uncultured Pelagophyceae
Lineage: Eukaryota; Pelagophyceae
Description: partial Bacterial large subunit ribosomal RNA
Rfam family: Bacterial large subunit ribosomal RNA
Source: RNAcentral
GGGUAACCGACGGUGGACGUAUCGGAAGUGCGAAUGCUGACAUGAGUAACGAUAAAGCGGGUGAGAGACCCGCUCGCCGAAAGUCCAAGGGUUCCUGCGCAACGCUAAUCGGCGCAGGGUGAGUCGGCCCCUAAGGCGAGGCAGAGAUGCGUAGCUGAUGGGAAGCAGGUUAAUAUUCCUGCACCGUCGUAUGAUGCGAUGGGGGGACGGAUCGCGGAAGGUUGUCUGACUGUUGGAAUAGUCAGUUUCUGGUUCAUAGAAGGCGCUUAGGCAAAUCCGGGCGCGUAAUUCAAGGGACUGGGACGAGGCACUUAGGUGCUGAAGCAAUCGGAAGUGGUUCCAAGAAAAGCCUCUAAGCUUCAGUCAUACGAGACCGUACCGCAAACCGACACAGGUGGGCGAGAUGAGUAUUCUAAGGCGCUUGAGAGAACUCGGGAGAAGGAACUCGGCAAAUUGGUACCGUAACUUCGGGAAAAGGUACGCCCUGGUAGCUUGACCACUUUACUGUGGAAGGGUGAAAGGGUUGCAAUAAACUGGUGGCUGCGACUGUUUAAUAAAAACACAGCACUCUGCAAACACGAAAGUGGA